RNAcentral lists this long non-coding RNA (222 nucleotides) under Salvia miltiorrhiza (redroot sage). Its description in RNAcentral is "long non-coding RNA (SMIL_LNC012360)". The record is from RNAcentral. Lineage: Eukaryota; Viridiplantae; Streptophyta; Magnoliopsida; Lamiales; Lamiaceae.
GAAAACGAGAGAAAAAAAUGGCGUUAAUACUAACGGAAGAUAAGGAAGCCGGAGACGGCGCCGGCGAGCGAAGAGUAGACGAAACGACGAAUGCCUAAAUCGAGGCACGCAUCCCAUUUCCAGGUAUCUCCGCUUUGCCUUCGUUCGCCAUUUCAGAUUAUCGAUCAGAAAUUUUCCACUAAUUUCUUUUGUUCAAUUUCGAGGGUUUCUUCCUCGUGGUCG